Molecule: ribosomal RNA, 409 nt
Filed under: uncultured microorganism
Description: bacterial SSU rRNA
Rfam family: Bacterial small subunit ribosomal RNA
Source: RNAcentral
GAGUUUGAUCGUGGCUCAGAUUGAACGCUGGCGGCAUGCCUUACACAUGCAAGUCGAACGGCAGCAUGAUCUAGCUUGCUAGAUUGAUGGCGAGUGGCGGACGGGUGAGUAAUACAUCGGAACGUGCCCUGUAGUGGGGGAUAACUAGUCGAAAGAUUAGCUAAUACCGCAUACGACCUGAGGGUGAAAGUGGGGGACCGCAAGGCCUCAUGCUAUAGGAGCGGCCGAUGUCUGAUUAGCUAGUUGGUGGGGUAAAGGCCCACCAAGGCGACGAUCAGUAGCUGGUCUGAGAGGACGAUCAGCCACACUGGGACUGAGACACGGCCCAGACUCCUACGGGAGGCAGCAGUGGGGAAUUUUGGACAAUGGGCGAAAGCCUGAUCCAGCAAUGCCGCGUGUGUGAAGAAGG